GGAAGAUAGGAAGAGAGAAGGAAAAUAGGAAAGGAAAAAGAAAAGAGGAAAAGAAGAGAGAGGUACUUUUUUUUUUAAAGGCAGUGAGGGAGGGAGAGAAGAAUAAAUCUCACAGCAGCUGGUGUCCUAGUUCAUUUGGGUCUGAGAAAAUUAUUUUUAGGCAAACAAGGAAGACAGGAUUCCGCCGCCCGAUUCUCCAGGGCGGGAAGAAUAGGAUGUCUUGUAAAAAAUAAGACUGGACUCCUUCUGACUCCACGCGGCCCCAGCUCCUGAACCAGCGCAGUGAGCCUCAGCCGCUUCUCAAACUGGGUCUCAGAAAAUUUCUCCUCGAGAUGGAUUUCAGCGGCAGGAAAGAGGGGCCAGUGACGCGAGGAGCAAGAAAAGAGUAACAUGGGAGAUGAAUGUUCAAACCCAGAUCUCCUCGCUGAGCCUGGAAGCUCG
Long non-coding RNA from Homo sapiens (human), 441 nucleotides. Ensembl annotates it as CCDC140 long non-coding RNA. Its record names the gene CCDC140. Lineage: Eukaryota; Metazoa; Chordata; Mammalia; Primates; Hominidae. The record is from Ensembl.